This 73-nucleotide transfer RNA is filed under the name Ornithorhynchus anatinus (platypus). It matches the Rfam family "tRNA". Rfam says of the family: Transfer RNA (tRNA) molecules are approximately 80 nucleotides in length. Their secondary structure includes four short double-helical elements and three loops (D, anti-codon, and T loops). The record is from Rfam by way of RNAcentral. Lineage: Eukaryota; Metazoa; Chordata; Mammalia; Monotremata; Ornithorhynchidae.
AGCAGUGUGGCCUAAUAGAUGGAGCACCUGCCCGGGAGUCAGGACGACCUGGGUUCUAACCCCAGCUCUGCCA